UGAUAACAUCCUAUGCGUACAAGAGCAUAGCUGGUUGUAUGAGAGCUGCACAUGUUGCACUCCUAUGUUUGAACAAAAGAAUUAGGGGUGACUGUGCUGCAAUGGACAAGGCAUUUUAGGGGAGGAAAUGAAGUUGUGUGUUCGUCUGGACCUUCAUUUCAGAUGGAACCAUAUUAGGCAUUCAGAGUUGCAUAGAAGUCUUAUCUCUUCAGGCUAAGCAAUAGACAAGUUUGGUCAAAUCAAGUUGGUGCUUACAGGGCUUCCAUCUGCCUGUAUACAUGUACAGAAGUGUCCCCUUGUCUCUUGUAACUCAAACUGAGGUCAGAUGCUGGUGAGCCAUGUGAUUGCAGAUUUAAUUGGGUCAAGAGACAGGUGGUGGUGGGGAAAUUGCAAUUGCAGUGAGACUGAUAAAAAACAAACAAGUAGGCUUCAGAGUGGUCGCAAAAAGGCUCGAAGCAAUCUCUGAUCCUCACACUGGCAAUAUGACUGGUUGUGGCUAAGAAUUCACUGCUCAAACCUAUGUCUAGAACAGGCUGAUCAGAACAUGCUAAAACUUGUGAAAUUUUGAGUUUGGGGUCCAGAUUUUAAUACUCAUGCCCAGCCUGUCCAUUCAGGAGUGUUUGGAGCCAGGGUUUUGAUAAGGUCCAUUAUAGUGGAUUUGGGUCUAGAUGUUUUGUUCAGGUUCUCCUCUUUUUGAAACACCAUUUGUUUCAUUUUAAAUGAGCCAAAAACUGUCAUUUUAACGGCAAAUGCACAAGGAAGCAGUAAAAUGAGCUUUACUGAGUUUACACAAUUCCACAAUUGAGUCACGUGUUGCAAAGGUAUGAGGGCAUUUCCUUCAUUCUCUUGUGGUCUGGUUUGUGGCCUGCAGAACAUCUCAAACUGAUAGACGAUAACUCCCAUUUCAGGAAACUCCUUGGACUCAACUGAAAGAGGACAGUCUGAUUACGGAACGGGAAGAUGGGAUCACCUGGCAACUUCCCCUGAAGAGGAACGAGACAUUCAUGAGGGCAGAUCCUUAUUAAAGAAUUGGAGGGACUGAAAUAGUUCAAGUACUGGAAAACAAGCUGCUGUAGGAUAUUAUUGAGGCAACACAUUAUCUCAAUCAAUGCACUUCACCACUUGAAGCUGUCACUUCUGCCUCUGAAGUGAGGACCUACAUUUCCCAUCAUGUAAGACUGUGAACCUAGGUGUACAACCUUUACACUGCAGAAUAAAGGGCC
Molecule: long non-coding RNA, 1223 nt
Organism: Chelonia mydas (Green sea turtle)
Lineage: Eukaryota; Metazoa; Chordata; Testudines; Cheloniidae
Exons: 3
Source: RefSeq, a predicted model, not a curated record